UCUCUGGCCAGAGAAUUGUUAUUUGAGCGCCAAUUCUAUUUCCUUCUUCCUACAUACGCUUUCUUCAAUUUGGAAACCUAAUCAAUUCUCUCAAUCAGUUGAAUCUCCAGGCAAAUUGAUUUCUCUUUACAUUCACACGGCUUCUCAAAACAUUACACGUUCAAUUUUACAAACCCUAAAUCUCAUCUACGGCUUCAUCUGUAGCGAUUGUACCUGGCCAUACCCACUUCAGAAAUCCCUAAAUCUCAAGCAUUCGAACUCUCAUCUAGGCAUGUUUUCUCUUUUUUGAUGUUGUCUGUAUUUGGUAAUCUAGCUGCGAAACCCUAAUUGGUAUCGAAAUACAGAGUGUGUGAUGCGGUGUGAACUUGGAUGCACUUUUGAGGUACACCAGUCUGAUGAUGAUAGGAGGAAUCGGGUAUCUUACUGAGUCUCACACACACAAAUGAGAAAAGAGGAAUUAUGUCUUCUUUGAAAUUUCACUUUUAAAGGAAUGGAUAUGGACAGCGGUCACCCUAUGCGCUUGGUUGACAUAAAAUGAUUGUGUUUUAAAGCAAGCGAACUAAUCGAAUACAAUCACCAACCUACGCUUUCGUUUAUUCUUUUCCUUCUCGAUCAAUCGUUCCUUCUGGUUUAUCCUUCAUCAUCCAAUUUUAAGAUUAUAAGAGAUGAAGAUCUUGAAGAGUUAAAGGAGCUUGGCUACAAUAUAUAUGAGACAGUUUACCAUGAAAAUUUGAGGGGAACUGAUGUGGCAACUAAGCAAAUAAAAAGAGCUGUUUUGCAGCUCGAUUAUAUGAACAAGAGAGAUUGGUUGUUGUGGUUGCUGUUAUGACAUGGUUGGGAUGCUAUUUUUUCUACGUUCCUCUAGAAAUAUCAUAUUCAUCUUUCAUCUGGCCGUGAUGUGACGAUAUCAGAGUUGGUUGCAGAGACAAAGCCUCGGUGCAUCAUCAACAAUCUGGUAAUUGGCUAAUGUUUCAGCUCAAAGUUUCACGGUUUUGGGAUUACCAUAUCCGGUUCGGAGGAGGUGUCGAACCGGAUGGUGGAGAAUACUAUGUCGAGUAUGAUCAACUGGGUCGCAUACACUCAUUGAGUCGUCUUCGAAUUAACAAGGUGGUAAGUCUCUUUCAGACAAAGAUCCCUUGGAACAGAAAGGUAUAAUAUUGUUUUUAUCUUAUUAAAAAAGAAAUUUCAUUUUAUUGUUAAAUUUGAAGUGUUUUGACUUUGAACAUACAGUUUAAUGUUGCGGGUUUAAUCUCAUUUAUUGUAUGUCAGUACUUUUCAUUUUUACCAUUCUACCCGUGCUUAACACGCUAAUGGUGGACAGUGGGAUUAUGUUCCUUCUUAUGUUACUUCUCUUAAAGAAGGAUUUCCUCUUCAGAGAUGAUUGACAGCUUGAGACAUGAGAUGAAUCAAGUCUACAUUGGAGGGAGUUCAGGUGAUCCAUUCAGCAGGCAUCAUGCUUCUUCCUCACACGAUGCAUCUAUGAGGGAAGAUCAUGUUAACCAAUAUAGAAGAUCUGAGUCAUCAUAUGCAAAUGGUUCAAGGUACUCCCACUAUGCACAUGGUGGGACAUCAUCAGCUGAAGGACUGCACACACCAGAUCAUUUCUCAUCCAUAAAUUAAUUAGGCAUAGCUCUGUAGGAAAGGUGGCGUAGUUGAUGUGUGUAAAAUGCAACAUAUAAAUUACAUCAAUUGAAGCAUAAAACUAACCCUUUUUAAGUACUAAUGUUGGAAAAAUAGUGUUUUUGUCUUCCUUUUGUAUUUUCAGGAUAAAA
Molecule: long non-coding RNA, 1772 nt
Organism: Helianthus annuus (common sunflower)
Lineage: Eukaryota; Viridiplantae; Streptophyta; Magnoliopsida; Asterales; Asteraceae
Exons: 9
Source: RefSeq, a predicted model, not a curated record